UCGUUUUUUUAGAAUGCAAGGUAGCCAAACGUCCAAUUUUUUGUCAAAGUAUUGUUGAAAAGCAAUAUGAAAAACCUUGGAGUGAUUAUGCUCACAUUAGUAGCCAAUAGUCUAAAAUGAAGUAAAUAUAUUCAUAAAGUUAGACGGCCGUAUAGUCUCUGGUUUCUGCAUUGAUAAUGCAGAGUGAAUCGGUCUUUAAAUAAAAACACAAAGAUGUUUUAUGAUAAGCAUAAGAAUCCAUACAAUAAGAUUCUCCAUAUAUGACUAUGGAAUGUAUUUUUAUUCGAACGAGUGUAUUUUUACGGAACCUGUCAAUUGAACAUGACUCA
RNAcentral lists this ribosomal RNA (329 nucleotides) under Hariotina sp. MMOGRB0030F. Its description in RNAcentral is "23S ribosomal RNA". Lineage: Eukaryota; Viridiplantae; Chlorophyta; Chlorophyceae; Sphaeropleales; Scenedesmaceae. The record is from RNAcentral.